Long non-coding RNA from Cyprinus carpio (common carp), 1884 nucleotides. The record is from Ensembl. Lineage: Eukaryota; Metazoa; Chordata; Actinopteri; Cypriniformes; Cyprinidae.
AUGCUCUUUUGCUGGCUGGUUCACCAUUUACUGUGGGGGUUGCUGAGGAGAUUCAAGAUUCAAGAUUCAAGCUAUCCUACAGUACCCGCCACAUCAGAACUUUUCCAUGUCCCAACCGUCAUGUCAGGAGUUGUUCACAUCACGCCAGCCAAGCCAAGGCCUACUCACAUCAUGUCUGCCAAGCCACAGCCUUCUCACGUCAUGUCUGCUACGCCAAAGCCUGCUAAUGUCAUGCCUGCUACUCCAGGACCUGCUCACAACAUGCCAGUUAAGUCACAGUUUACUCCUAUCAUGUCUACCAAGUCAAAGCCUGAUCACAUCAUGUCUGCCAAGCCAGAAUCCGCUAACAUCAUGUCUGCUACCCCAGGGUUUGCUCACGUCAUGCCUGCCAAGCCAGCACCUGUUCACGUCAUGCCUGCUACGCCAGAGCCUACUCAUAUCAUGCCAGUCUCUCAAGAGAUUCUCCACAACAUGGAAAAACUUCGUCGCAAGAUGGCCGCCACACAAGAGUCUCUUCACAAAAUGGCCACCUUUCUAGAGUCUCGACACGUCGCAGGUGAUCCUCCAGAGUCUCGUCAUGAAAUGGCCACCAUUUCAGAGCCUCGUCCCAUCAUAGCUGCCAUUUCAGAGUCUGCUCAUGCCAUGCCUGAGUCCCCGGCCAAGAUGGCCGCAACGCCUGAGUCCUCCACAGAUGCGGAGCUUGGGCCAGGACUGAUUGCCAGUAUGAUGGACCCACCAUUGAUGUCGGUGCAAGCAGCUGGCAUCUCCAGGGCCUCUGCACUGGCUGUCACAGAGACUAUUCCCCUGACCUCAGUGCUUCCUGUUACGGCAGUCGCCAUUUUGAGUGUGUGGGCUGCACACUGCGCUCCAGAGACCUUUCCUGUCCACGAGUCUGCUCCUGAGGCCUCUCCUGACAGUGAAUCCACCCUAGUGCCUCCAGAGGUGGCGGCGUCCACUACAGAACCUCCAGAGGUGGUGGCUUCCACUGCAGAACCUCCCGAGGUGGUGGCGCCCACAUUUAAACUCUCUGUCUGUCCUGUCACGGCCAAGGAGGCCGUCCAUGAACUCUCUGCCUGUCCUGUCACAGCCAAGGAGGCCAUCCAUGAACUUUCUGCCUGUCCUGUCACGGCCAAGGAGGUCGUCCAUGAACUUUCUGCCUGUCCUGCCACGGCCAUGGAGGCAGUUCAUGAACACACUGUCUCUCCUGUUACGGCCAAUGAGGCCAUCCAUGAACUCUCUGCCUGUCCCUUCACGCCCAAGGAGGCCGUCCAUGAACUCUCUGCCUGUCCUGCCAUGGCCAUGGAGGCAGUUCAUGAACUCACUGUCUGUCCCGUUAUGGCCAAGAAGGCCAUGCAUGAACUCACUGCCUGUCCCGUUACGGCCAAGGAGGCCGUGCAUGAACUCACUGCCUGUAUUGCCACGGCCAAGGAGGCCACUCAUGAACUCCCUGUCUGUCCUGUCAUGGCCACGAAGGCCAUUCAAGAACUCUCUGCCUGUCCUGUCAUGACCAAGUGGUCUGUCCAUGUCUCUGCUCCACCAUGGCUUCCUGCUCUGCAGGCACCGCCUAGCCACCCCGCUCUGCUUGCUCCACCAUGGCUCCCCGUUCAUGAACUCACUGUCUGUCCCGUUAGACCAAGUGGUCUGCUCCACGGCCCAGGUCCCCCUCUACUCCAUUGUCUGUCACUGCUCCACGGCCCAGGUCCCCCUCUGCUCCAUUGUCUGUCAUUGCCUCAUGAUCCGGAUCCACGACUGCUCCUAGCUCCAGGCCCGCCAUUGCUCCACCCUCCAGGUCCUGUUUCUUUUCACAGGCCUGGCCCUCCAUCCCUCCCCCUGUUCCGCCUCUGCUUUUCUUGUCAUGUGACCUGUAUUGUUUGUUAUAAGUAG